This 253-nucleotide ribosomal RNA is filed under the name uncultured bacterium. RNAcentral describes it as "partial 16S ribosomal RNA". It matches the Rfam family "Bacterial small subunit ribosomal RNA", at positions 524 to 776 of the family's 1533-position model. The record is from RNAcentral.
UACAGAGGUCUCAAGCGUUGUUCGGAAUCACUGGGCGUAAAGGGUGCGCAGGCGGCGUGGAAAGUCAGAUGUGAAAUCCGGGGGCUCAACCUCCGAAUUGCAUCCGAUACUCCCAUGCUAGAGAACUGGAGAGGAGUCUGGAAUUCUCGGUGUAGCAGUGAAAUGCAUAGAUAUCGAGAGGAACACUAGUGGCGAAGGCGAGACUCUGGACAGUAUCUGACGCUCAUGCACGAAGGCCAGGGUAGCGAACGGG